GCUGGGUGUGGUGGUGCAUGCUUGUAAUUCCAGCAGCUUGGGAGGCUGAGGCAGGAGGAUCGCAAGAUCAAAGCCAGCCUCAGCAUCUU
Molecule: small RNA, 89 nt
Filed under: Marmota monax (woodchuck)
Lineage: Eukaryota; Metazoa; Chordata; Mammalia; Rodentia; Sciuridae
Source: RNAcentral